This 524-nucleotide ribosomal RNA is filed under the name uncultured bacterium. RNAcentral's name for it is "partial 16S ribosomal RNA". It matches the Rfam family "Bacterial small subunit ribosomal RNA", at positions 28 to 523 of the family's 1533-position model. The record is from RNAcentral.
GACGAACGCUGGCGGCGUGCCUAAUACAUGCAAGUCGAGCGCAGGAAAUCAUCCGAACCUUUCGGGGGGACGUUGAUGGAAUGAGCGGCGGACGGGUGAGUAACACGUAAAGAACCUGCCCUCAGGUCUGGGAUAACCACGAGAAAUCGGGGCUAAUACCGGAUGGGUCAUCGGACCGCAUGGUCCGAGGAUGAAAGGCGCUUCGGCGCCGCCUGGGGAUGGCUUUGCGGUGCAUUAGCUAGUUGGUGGGGUAAUGGCCCACCAAGGCGACGAUGCAUAGCCGACCUGAGAGGGUGAUCGGCCACACUGGGACUGAGACACGGCCCAGACUCCUACGGGAGGCAGCAGUAGGGAAUCUUCCACAAUGGACGAAAGUCUGAUGGAGCAACGCCGCGUGAACGAUGAAGGCCUUCGGGUCGUAAAGUUCUGUUGUAAGGGAAGAACAAGUGCCGCAGGCAAUGGCGGCACCUUGACGGUACCUUGCGAGAAAGCCACGGCUAACUACGUGCCAGCAGCCGCGGUAA